Molecule: ribosomal RNA, 517 nt
Filed under: uncultured euryarchaeote
Lineage: Archaea; Methanobacteriati; Methanobacteriota
Description: bacterial SSU rRNA
Rfam family: Archaeal small subunit ribosomal RNA
Source: RNAcentral
GGGGUGCAGCAGGCGCGAAAACUUCACACUNUNCGAAAGCACGAUGAGGGAAUCCCAAGUGCUGGCUCGUAAGAGUCAGCUGUUUUUCUGUCUAGAAAACAGAGAGAGUAAGAGCUGGGUAAGACGGGUGCCAGCCGCCGCGGUAAUACCUGCAGCUCAAGUGGUGGCCGCUAUUAUUGGGCCUAAAACGUUCGUAGCCGGUNUAGUAAAUGCCUGGGUAAAUCAUACGGCUUAACCGUACGAAUUCCGGGUAGACUGCUGGACUUGGGACUGGGAGAGGCUAGAGGUACUCCUGGGGUAGAGGUGAAAUUCUGUAAUCCUAGGGGGACNACCAGUGGCGAAGGCGUNUAGCUAGAACAGGUCUGACGGUGAGGAACGAAGCCCUGGGGCGCAAACGGGAUUAGAUACCCCGGUAGUCCAGGGUGUAAACGCUGCUUGCUUGAUGUUAGUCGGGCUCCGAGCCCGAUUAGUGUCGGAGAGAAGUUGUUAAGCAAGCUGCCUGGGAGUACGCCNAGAU